RNAcentral lists this unclassified non-coding RNA (240 nucleotides) under soil metagenome. RNAcentral's name for it is "partial contains 5.8S ribosomal RNA, internal transcribed spacer 2, and large subunit ribosomal RNA". The record is from RNAcentral.
AACGCACGAGACCUGCGGACCUGCGGAGGGAUCAUUAUCGAGUUAUGGACAGGUUGUAGCUGGCCUUUCAAGAGGCAUGUGCACGCCUGGCUCAUCCAUUCUCAACCUCUGUGCACUACUUGUAGGAAUUCGGGGUGUGUGAAGCCUGACUUUUCUCUGUGAGAGGUUUGGUUGAAGCUCUCCCCCUUCCUAUGUUUUUAUUCACAAACUUUUAGUUAAAGAAUGUAUUUUUACUUGCGU